This 643-nucleotide ribosomal RNA is filed under the name Parathemisto japonica. RNAcentral's name for it is "partial 18S ribosomal RNA". It matches the Rfam family "Eukaryotic small subunit ribosomal RNA", at positions 1362 to 1807 of the family's 1831-position model. Lineage: Eukaryota; Metazoa; Arthropoda; Malacostraca; Amphipoda; Hyperiidae. The record is from RNAcentral.
ACGGACCUUAGUGUUUUUCUAGACGGUGUGAUUCGGAGCAAGAGUCCAUGGGCGUAAGCCCCGGUCUCGGACGAUGUCCACUGAUCCUUGGUGCGUUGGUGUUCCGUGUGCCAUCGGAGAGUUGAGUGUUCGCAUUCUUCGCCUCUGUGGAUUUCUCGGUUCAUCGACAAAGCGCCUCGGAGUACGUUUCUUCUUAGAGGGAUUGACGACUUAUAAGUCGUAAGAAACAGGGAGCAAUAACAGGUCUGUGAUGCCCUUAGAUGUUCUGGGCUGCACGCGUGUUACAAUGCCGGUAUCAACGGGUUAUUACACUUUUAGUGGCCUACUCCGAAAGGAGUGGGUAAACCUUUGAAAUACCAACUGCGUCUGUCUUCAUUGACAGUGCAAUUACGGCAUGCUUGGGACUGGGGAUUGCAAUUAUUCCCCACAAACUAGGAAUGCCUUGUAGUGGCGGGUCACAGAGCCCGCUGCGAAUCUGUCCCUGCCCUUUGUACACACCGCCCGUCGCUACUACCGAUUGAGUGUACCAGUGAGAUUUUUGGACUGGCGAACCGCAAGCCUUUACGGGCUAGCGGCGUACGACAAUAAGAGACUCGAACUGGUGCACUUAGAGGAAGUAAAAGUCGUAACAAGGUAUCCCGUA